AAAUCAUUUGAAGAUAUUCACCAUUAUAGAGAACAAAUUAAAAGAGUUAAGGACUCUGAAGAUGUACCUAUGGUCCUAGUAGGAAAUAAAUGUGAUUUGCCUUCUAGAACAGUAGACACAAAACAGGCUCAGGACUUAGCAAGAAGUUAUGGAAUUCCUUUUAUUGAAACAUCAGCAAAGACAAGACAGGGUGUUGAUGAUGCCUUCUAUACAUUAGUUCGAGAAAUUCGAAAACAUAAAGAAAAGAUGAGCAAAGAUGGUAAAAAGAAGAAAAAGAAGUCAAAGACAAAGUGUGUAAUUAUGUAAAUACAAUUUGUACUUUUUUCUUAAGGCAUACUAGUACAAGUGGUAAUUUUUGUACAUUACACUAAAUUAUUAGCAUUUGUUUUAGCAUUACCUAAUUUUUUUCCUGCUCCAUGCAGACUGUUAGCUUUUACCUUAAAUGCUUAUUUUAAAAUGACAGUGGAAGUUUUUUUUUCCUCUAAGUGCCAGUAUUCCCAGAGUUUUGGUUUUUGAACUAGCAAUGCCUGUGAAAAAGAAACUGAAUACCUAAGAUUUCUGUCUUGGGGCUUUUGGUGCAUGCAGUUGAUUACUUCUUAUUUUUCUUACCAAUUGUGAAUGUUGGUGUGAAACAAAUUAAUGAAGCUUUUGAAUCAUCCCUAUUCUGUGUUUUAUCUAGUCACAUAAAUGGAUUAAUUACUAAUUUCAGUUGAGACCUUCUAAUUGGUUUUUACUGAAACAUUGAGGGAACACAAAUUUAUGGGCUUCCUGAUGAUGAUUCUUCUAGGCAUCAUGUCCUAUAGUUUGUCAUCCCUGAUGAAUGUAAAGUUACACUGUUCACAAAGGUUUUGUCUCCUUUCCACUGCUAUUAGUCAUGGUCACUCUCCCCAAAAUAUUAUAUUUUUUCUA
Molecule: long non-coding RNA, 909 nt
Filed under: Homo sapiens (human)
Lineage: Eukaryota; Metazoa; Chordata; Mammalia; Primates; Hominidae
Description: HSALNT0186728
Source: RNAcentral